GGAGGGGUGGCAGAGUGGUCGAUCGCGCCGGUCUUGAAAACCGGAGAGCCGCAAGGUUCCGUGGGUUCGAAUCCCACCCCCUCCGCCA
This 88-nucleotide transfer RNA is filed under the name Verrucomicrobiaceae bacterium. RNAcentral's name for it is "tRNA-Ser". It matches the Rfam family "tRNA". From Rfam's summary of the family: Transfer RNA (tRNA) molecules are approximately 80 nucleotides in length. Their secondary structure includes four short double-helical elements and three loops (D, anti-codon, and T loops). Further hydrogen bonds mediate the characteristic L-shaped molecular structure. tRNAs have two regions of fundamental functional importance: the anti-codon, which is responsible for specific mRNA codon recognition, and the 3' end, to which the tRNAs corresponding amino acid is attached (by aminoacyl-tRNA synthetases). tRNAs cope with the degeneracy of the genetic code in two manners: having more than one tRNA (with a specific anti-codon) for a particular amino acid; and 'wobble' base-pairing, i.e. permitting non-standard base-pairing at the 3rd anti-codon position. Lineage: Bacteria; Pseudomonadati; Verrucomicrobiota; Verrucomicrobiia; Verrucomicrobiales; Verrucomicrobiaceae. The record is from RNAcentral.